GUCUAUAGCCAUGCCACCCUGAACAAGCUUGAUCCUGUCUGAUCUCGAAAGCUAAGCAGGGUCAGGCCUGGUUAGUACUUGGAUGGGAGACCACCUAGGAAGACCAGGUGCUGUAGUCG
This 119-nucleotide ribosomal RNA is filed under the name Pteropus alecto (black flying fox). The record is from RNAcentral. Lineage: Eukaryota; Metazoa; Chordata; Mammalia; Chiroptera; Pteropodidae.